Molecule: transfer RNA, 72 nt
Filed under: Curvularia lunata CX-3
Lineage: Eukaryota; Fungi; Ascomycota; Dothideomycetes; Pleosporales; Pleosporaceae
Description: tRNA-Pro (TGG) (tRNA-Pro-TGG-1-1)
Rfam family: tRNA
About the family: Transfer RNA (tRNA) molecules are approximately 80 nucleotides in length. Their secondary structure includes four short double-helical elements and three loops (D, anti-codon, and T loops).
Source: RNAcentral
GGCCUGAUGGUCUAGUCGUAUGAUUCCUGCUUUGGGUGCAGGAGGCCCCGGGUUCAAAUCCCGGUCAGGCCC